Molecule: small RNA, 16 nt
Filed under: Arabidopsis thaliana (thale cress)
Lineage: Eukaryota; Viridiplantae; Streptophyta; Magnoliopsida; Brassicales; Brassicaceae
Description: ATSL130280
Source: RNAcentral
AUCAACAACAAGAACU